Molecule: ribosomal RNA, 337 nt
Filed under: Escherichia coli
Lineage: Bacteria; Pseudomonadati; Pseudomonadota; Gammaproteobacteria; Enterobacterales; Enterobacteriaceae
Description: bacterial SSU rRNA
Rfam family: Bacterial small subunit ribosomal RNA
Source: RNAcentral
CAAGUCAUCAUGGCCCUUACGACCAGGGCUACACACGUGCUACAAUGGCGCAUACAAAGAGAAGCGACCUCGCGAGAGCAAGCGGACCUCAUAAAGUGCGUCGUAGUCCGGAUUGGAGUCUGCAACUCGACUCCAUGAAGUCGGAAUCGCUAGUAAUCGUGGAUCAGAAUGCCACGGUGAAUACGUUCCCGGGCCUUGUACACACCGCCCGUCACACCAUGGGAGUGGGUUGCAAAAGAAGUAGGUAGCUUAACCUUCGGGAGGGCGCUUACCACUUUGUGAUUCAUGACUGGGGUGAAGUCGUAACAAGGUAACCGUAGGGGAACCUGCGGUUGGA